UACGUAGGGGGCAAGCGUUGUCCGGAAUCAUUGGGCGUAAAGCGCACGUAGGCGGCCCGGUAAGUCCGUUGUGAAAGUCAGAGGCUCAACCUCUGGAGGCCAAUGGAUACUGCCGGGCUAGAGUCCGGAAGAGGCGAGUGGAAUUCCUGGUGUAGCGGUGAAAUGCGCAGAUAUCGGGAAGAACACCCGUGGCGAAGGCGGCUCUCUGGGACGGUACUGACGCUGAGACGCGAAAGCGUGGGGAGCGAACAGG
RNAcentral lists this ribosomal RNA (253 nucleotides) under uncultured bacterium. Its description in RNAcentral is "partial 16S ribosomal RNA". It matches the Rfam family "Bacterial small subunit ribosomal RNA", at positions 524 to 776 of the family's 1533-position model. The record is from RNAcentral.